Molecule: RNA transcript, 977 nt
Organism: Glycine soja
Lineage: Eukaryota; Viridiplantae; Streptophyta; Magnoliopsida; Fabales; Fabaceae
Gene name: protein CREG1-like
Exons: 4
Source: RefSeq, a predicted model, not a curated record
UAUUCGCCUGGAACUAGGUGGAGUGUGUUGGGAUAGAUUCUUAAUCCAAUCUAAGCCUGAGAGGCUGAAGGAUAGUAGACAGAGUAAAAAAGAAAAAGAUGUUCUUGUUGUUGAUGUCGAUCCCAAAAAAACCUGACCCAGAUGAUGCUCCUGCCUCAAUUUCUGGGGAGUCUUAAAUACUAUCUCAGCUGAUUUGGGUGGAGCUCCCUUUCUUCACUAUCCUUCUUUUUCAUUUUUUCUGCUCUAAAUUUCUAUUCCGUAUUUCUUUUGUGCUACCUUCUACAUUAUUGACCAUUGGAUUUGUUAAUCUCAAAUACUUACAAGUUAUUGUUAUGGAAAAUUAUCUUUAUGCAGGAAUGUGGUUUCAUUUAGUGAUGGACUACCUAAUGAUAAAGCUUCAUUCACAGUCAGUGAAUUCCCUCUUGGGACCUGUGGCAGGAGAGACCCAAUGAACCCUACUUGUUCCAAAAUUUCUCUAACCGCAAAGCUGAAAUUGGUUGAUGAAAAGUCAAAGGAAGCCAAAAUUGCUAGAAAUGCCUUGUUUUCCAAGCAUCCAGAGAUGAAGGACUGGCCUGAGGAUCACCACUUUCAAGUCUUCAAAUUAGAAAUUGAAAAUAUAUUUCUAAUUAAUUGGUUUGGUGGUCCAAAACCACUCACAGUGGAACAGUACUUACAUCCCAAAAUGUGAGUCAUUGGUUUGGUGGUCCAAACCCCUUCACUAACAUUAUAGCUAAGUUCCGACAAAAAAAAAAAAAAAAAUUAUAGCUAAGCAGGAGAUUGUUAUUUUGGUCAUUGUUGUAACUCAUUUUUAUAUCUAGAGAAGGGUAUCGUAUUCUUAAAUAUCCCCUAUAAAGUGGUCUAUUGAUAUUUUGGCCAUGGAAGUUGGAAGAUGCUUUGUAUAAUAUCUCAUUAUAUCUUGAGAAGGCUAUGUCGUAUUCGUAUCCUCAAAAAUCCAUUAUUUUAGACGCUCGCUUCCA